Molecule: long non-coding RNA, 309 nt
Filed under: Elaeis guineensis (African oil palm)
Lineage: Eukaryota; Viridiplantae; Streptophyta; Magnoliopsida; Arecales; Arecaceae
Description: long non-coding RNA (EGUI_LNC005296)
Source: RNAcentral
UGGCUGCCCACUUUAUUACCUCCAUCCUCUAAGCUUUUCUCUUUCUAUUAUUGAAGUAUGAACCAAGGAGCCAUACUUCUCCUUCGUUGCAAAAUCACUUUUGCUUCGUUACAAAUAAUUUUCAUAGUGCAGCACUUUUAAUUUUUAGUUAAAAGAUUAAAAAAUUGAAUGUCCAAUUUUUAGUCUUUUGAUCUCAAAAAUUUUAAUGCUUUCUUUUAGUAAUAGUAAAUUUACUUUGUACUUUAGAGUAUAAUCUGAAUUCUCUGAAAUUUAUAGGCAUUUUGUUUCGAUUGUGUAUUUGAAGAUUUC